CCUACGGGAGGCAGCAGUGGGGAAUAUUGCACAAUGGGGGAAACCCUGAUGCAGCGACGCCGCGUGAGUGAAGAAGUAUUUCGGUACGUAAAGCUCUAUCAGCAGGGAAGAAAAUGACGGUACCUGACUAAGAAGCCCCGGCUAACUACGUGCCAGCAGCCGCGGUAAUACGUAGGGGGCAAGCGUUAUCCGGAUUUACUGGGUGUAAAGGGAGCGUAGACGGCAGCGCAAGUCUGGCGUGAAAUCCCAUGGCUUAACCAUGGAACUGCUUUGGAAACUGUGCAGCUAGAGUGCAGGAGAGGUAAGCGGAAUUCCGAGUGUAGCGGUGAAAUGCGUAGAUAUUAGGAGGAACACCAGUGGCGAAGGCGGCUUACUGGACUGUAACUGACGUUGAGGCUCGAAAGCGUGGGGAGCAAACAGGAUUAGAUACCCGUGUAGUC
Molecule: ribosomal RNA, 440 nt
Filed under: uncultured bacterium
Lineage: Bacteria
Description: partial 16S ribosomal RNA
Rfam family: Bacterial small subunit ribosomal RNA
Source: RNAcentral